GCCGCGUGAGCGAUGACGGAUUUCGGGAUGUAAAGCUCUUUCUUAGGGAAGAAAUGACGGUACCUGACUAAGAUUGCCGGCUAAUACGAGCCAGGCGCCGCUGUAACGUACCAGCCGCCGCGGUAAU
RNAcentral lists this ribosomal RNA (127 nucleotides) under uncultured bacterium. RNAcentral's name for it is "partial 16S ribosomal RNA". The record is from RNAcentral.